This 27-nucleotide non-coding RNA is filed under the name Mus musculus (house mouse). The record is from RNAcentral. Lineage: Eukaryota; Metazoa; Chordata; Mammalia; Rodentia; Muridae.
UGGAUGGAAAUGUUCUCAAUUGGAAAC